AUACACUCAAGAACAUGUAGAAAAGAACAAUAAAAACAAUGCAGGGUGAUGAGACCAUCCCAUAUCAAGAUCAAUGUAAAGAAUUCAAAAUAUUUUGCUUGAUAAAAAGAAGAGGGAUUUCAUCACACAAUUUGGAUUUUGGAAAGAUAUAUACAAAAGAUGGAAGUAAAGACAUGGAAAAUUAAUUUAAAAAAUGGAGCAUGGUCCAUUACAAAUAGCACCUCACAUGGAAACUCAUAAUGAGCAGAUUUUAGAGAGGAAGGCUGAGAGCAGGAAAAGAAUGAAUUAAAAAGCAAAAAUAUUAUAUUAGGGAAAAAGGGAGAUUAACAGAAUGCAGAUUCCUAUCUAGAUUUCCAGAAUGGAAAUGAUGAUAAUAAAUGUUUAAUUCUUAUUUUGUUUCGAUUUUCUCUGCUAAUAAAGUCUUUGGACUUUAAAAGAUAGAAAAAAUGAUUAAGCUGGGAAAAUCUCUCAUCCAAUAGGAAUGGGACCUCUUGGGAAAAGUAUACUCAUCAGCAGAGUGACAUGAUGACUGACAUGUGAUGAAUGUCAAAGAACUGGACAGGAGGAUAAAACCUCCUAUUGGUUUUGGAGAGAGGGAAGCAAGAUGAUUGAAGAGAAGAUCCUGGAAAAUAAAUAAUAAAACUGACCAACCAGAGGGCCAAAGUGGGUACCUGGUUAUCAGAAAUGUAAACAUCAUCUAACAAAAUAUGAAGUUAUUCCACUCUACCUUGGCUGUAGACUCCAUUGAUAGCUUUCUUCAUUCAACUCAAGGAAAUUUCUCUGAGACUCCUAGGCUGUGGAGAAUACUUGGCUUGUUGCUGAAGGAGUUAAAAGAAGGUGUUUAGUUCUAAAGGCUAGCUAGAUGAUCUCAUAAAACUUAUGGUCCUCACAAUAUUAUCAUAUCACAAUUGCUUAUCUUUUUUAGAAUCCAUGAGAGAUUCCUUUUAGCUUUAGCUCUAUGUUUUAACAUUAAGAACCUUAAAAUUAUUAGUAGGGGUAGGAGCUUCAAAUUCAAGUUCCCAUCUCUCAAUCCAUCCACUUACAUUUCUCAUAAAGAAAUUCUUUCCUUUUGAAAAGUGGAAAAUAUGGGUUAUGCAUUUACAACAUCACGUUUCCAGUUGAAAACUCAGUUACACUUUUAGUUGCUCCCAUCAGCACUUUUUUCCUUUUUAUUAAGUUGUUUUCAUCAAGUUCUCCAUUUGCUGAAGAUAAGCUUUGCCCCAAAUAGCUCAUGGGUAAUCAAGUUUAUAAGGACACUGUGAAAAAGCUAGCCACAUCUUUCCUCUCAUGCAAUGGUAAUCAGAAAAAGGAUAUAAGAAUUCAGCAUAAAGCACAUUUCUUAUCUGCAUGAAACCCUUCAUGACCUUAGAUUCCAAUUGAAUGGAACUAAAAAAUUAGCUAAAGCUUAUUUUGUAUUAUGUUUACAUUAUCACUAGGAGUCAAUAUUAUAAACUCCUUGAGGGUAGGGACUGUCUCAAGUUUGUGUGUGUGUGUGUGUAUCUUUGAAUUUCCAGUUCCUGCUACAGUACUUGGAAUAUGGUUUACACUUAAUAAAUGUUUCCUGAAUACAUUUUGUUGUAUGAGUUGAGUUUAAAUAGAUACUGAUGCAAUGACGAUAGAGUAGUCACUUAUUGUCACUAUAAUGACAAAAUCUUUUCAUUUUAAAAUCAAUUUUCAUUAGUUGAAAUCUGUUUCAUCAUAAGAUAGUUAAAAAAAGAAUAUAUUAUUUCACUCACCAUUCAUUGAGAAUCUCUUCUUGCAAAGAAGACCCUGAUUUAAGUUUUUGAGGGUCACAAAUAUACUUCUUAUAUAUAGCAACUCAUUCAUCAUAGUUUUUUUCUUUAAUUCAAAUUCAUGGAAUGAAAAGAUUGAAAAAUGGUCAUUUAUAUUCUUUUUUCCUAGACUGACUCAAUCAACCAACAUGGACUUAUUAAGUACUUAUUAUAUUCAAAGUAUUGUGCUAGAUACUAGACCUAUAGUUUCAUUGAAAUGAAUAACUCUCAGGUCAGGAAAUUCCUUGUACCAAUGUAGGCUGGCACUUUUACUGCAAUUUAUAAUCUUAGAUAACUGACUAUGGGCUCUAGAAGAAAGAAACAUGAAGUCCAAAGUUACAAAGCCCAUUAGGAUAGGUCAGAGGAGUUAUCUGAACCCAAGUUUACCUGAUGUUGGGAUCAGUGUUUUAUCUACUAGCUUAUGCUUGUUCUCAUAGGUUGUACUGGAGACAAAACUGGAAAAUGAAGCAAUCCUUUCUCUGAGAGAAAUUACGUUCCAUUGAUGCACAUAUACACAUACACACAUGUCUAUCUAGAAUACAUAUAUGCAAAAUAAAUUGAAAAAGAUUCUUGCAAUUUUCUUAGAUUAUUAGUAUUAGAGGAAGGGUACUAGCUAGGAGGAGAGAAGAAUUCAGUUAUGUAAGGAAGAUAAAUUUUCUCCACAUGGUGUAUCCAUACAUUUUAUCUUAUAUUCAGGCAGACCAUUUGAAGAAUUCAGAAACAGUUGGCUUUUGUUUUUUUGUUUCUUCUCUCUAGCUGAAAUGGUUUAAUAUUGCUUUAAGGUCUUACAUUUCUAUUGUAGAAACUUUCUUUUGUAUUCUUAGCUGUAUUCAUACUUGAAAAUCUUCCUUUUUUAUUUGUAUGUAUCUCUUGUACUUGUCACAGUGCUUUAAAAUAGUGCUAAAUAAAUGCUUUGUUCAUGAAUUCAUUUACUAUAUAAGGGAGAGGAAAAAAUUUGGCCAAUUUCUGGUUAAUUUCUUUAUUAUAGAUAGAAAAACAUAUCAAACACAUUCACUUUGACUAGCUAUAUCAAUUGUGUUAACUAAACAAUUGCUAAAAAAAAAAAAAAAAAAAAAAAAAAAAAAAAA
Long non-coding RNA from Sarcophilus harrisii (Tasmanian devil), 2860 nucleotides. RefSeq lists it as uncharacterized. The transcript is spliced from 3 exons. NCBI's taxonomy places the organism in Eukaryota, Metazoa, Chordata, Mammalia, Dasyuromorphia, Dasyuridae. The record is from RefSeq and is a predicted model, not a curated record.